Molecule: long non-coding RNA, 267 nt
Filed under: Capsicum annuum
Lineage: Eukaryota; Viridiplantae; Streptophyta; Magnoliopsida; Solanales; Solanaceae
Description: long non-coding RNA (CANN_LNC008224)
Source: RNAcentral
GGAACAAGGCCUUAGCAUGCAUCUCAAACAUUCAAUCAUGAAACAUGAAGUGGAGGAAUCUAACCUUCUACUCAAGUAACAUAGAAAGUUUGAACUUCCCAAUUAUAUUAAGAAAGAGGACUCUAACCUCAAGCCGUCUUACCAAGCAUGUGGAUUCUAAACACAAGAUGUUUUAUUAGGCUAGGGACUCUAACCUCAAGCCAUUUAAGUAUGAAAAUAAACUCUAACCUUAAGAUGUUUCAUUAGGAAAUGGACUCUAACCUUAGU